This 273-nucleotide ribosomal RNA is filed under the name Gigaspora sp. W2992. Lineage: Eukaryota; Fungi; Glomeromycota; Glomeromycetes; Diversisporales; Gigasporaceae. The record is from RNAcentral.
CAGUCGCGUUUGCCGGGACCCAGCCUUGCUUCUGCUUGGUGCGCUUCUCGGUAGAUGGGCCAGCAUCGAUUUCGGAUGCCGGAAAAUGACUUGAGGAAUGUGGCGGCUUGCUGUGUUAUAGCCUCUUGUUGUACACGGUGUCGGGGAUCGAGGACUGCAGCACGCCUUUGGUCGGGGUUCGCCACGCCACGUGCCUUAGGAUGGCUGGCAAAACGGCUUUAAACGACCCGUCUUGAAACACGGACCAAGGAGUCUAACAUGUAUGCGAGUGUU